AGGUCAGACAGUAGUGCCUGGCAGGUGCCUGGCUGAGCAGGAGCUCCCGGGAGGGCGUCCGUCCUCCUCUGUCCUCUGUCUACUCCCACCCCGAGGCUGACCUGACACAUCCCUCUCUACACCACCAUCCCACACCAGGCAGAGGGGACACCGUAGCCCCUGCCCGUGGCCCCUGCACCCGACGUCACCGACUCGUUCACCCGGCGAAUGAGGGUCACGUUGACGAGCCGCUGGGCAUCCUGGGUGUCUGCCCACCUGCAGGAUGGAGACACGCAGCAGCGGCAGGCCCUGCCCCCCAGACCCCCAAGCAUCCUGGGAUGAGGCACAAACCCAGCCUUGAGAUGAACCCCAAGCCAGGACGCUGCUGGAGCAACGGUCUGGAGGUGGAACCACUGAGGCGCAGCGAGUGUCUGCUGGGGAAGGAGGAGAAGGGAAACGGUCAGAGCAGCCACCCUGGAGCCUGGGGGCCUGGAGUGCCGUGCUGAGAAAUAUGGGCUGGGAAGCCAGACACACUCAGCUGGACUUUCCAGGACAGGAUGAGCAGGAAUGUGCAGGAGGAGGGAAGUGAAGGAAGCCCAGGGAAGGCCGGGGGAGAGACGAAGCAAGGGGAGCAGGAGGAGGGUGGGUGGGCAGGGUCCCGGGGGUAUGGUGCGGGCCUCCUCCAGGGUGCAGCAGUGAGGAGGGGGCAGGGAAGGGGUGGGAGCCACAGAACUCACCUUCUUCCCCUGCCAGGCUAAGCCCCCAGCACAGGGCCAGCAGGGCCAUGAGGAGCAGCUCCCAGGCCAGCACCAUUUUCCUGGUCAGCUCUGGACAGGCAGCUGUUAGAAAAGAGGAGUCCUUCUAUAUGAUCGCUCAGAGAGUGAAAACAAACACGCUUCCUGAGGCCUCCCCAAAAGCUGAGCAGAUGCCAGCACCAUGCUUCCUGUACAGCCUGCAGAACUGUAAGCCAAUUAAACCUCUUUUCUUUAU
Molecule: long non-coding RNA, 969 nt
Organism: Pan troglodytes (chimpanzee)
Lineage: Eukaryota; Metazoa; Chordata; Mammalia; Primates; Hominidae
Exons: 4
Source: RefSeq, a predicted model, not a curated record